UCUCCGUUGGUGAACCAGCGGAGGGAUCAUUACCGAGUUUACAACUCCCAAACCCCUAUGUGAACGUUACCAAACUGUUGCCUCAGCGGGAAAUUCAUGCCCCGGGCGCGUCGCAGCCCCGGACCAAGGCGCCCGCCGGAGGACCAACCAAAACUCUUUUGUAUGUCCCUCGCGGACUUUUAUAAUUCUGAACCAUCUCGGCGCCCCUAGCGGGCGUUUCGAAAAUGAAUCAAAACUUUCAACAACGGAUCUCUUGGUUCUG
This 262-nucleotide unclassified non-coding RNA is filed under the name plant metagenome. Its description in RNAcentral is "partial contains small subunit ribosomal RNA, internal transcribed spacer 1, and 5.8S ribosomal RNA". The record is from RNAcentral.